Molecule: ribosomal RNA, 513 nt
Filed under: uncultured bacterium
Lineage: Bacteria
Description: partial 16S ribosomal RNA
Rfam family: Bacterial small subunit ribosomal RNA
Source: RNAcentral
GAUGAACGCUGGCGGCGUGCCUAAUACAUGCAAGUCGAGCGAACAGACGAGGAGCUUGCUCCUCUGACGUUAGCGGCGGACGGGUGAGUAACACGUGGAUAACCUACCUAUAAGACUGGGAUAACUUCGGGAAACCGGAGCUAAUACCGGAUGAUAUAUUGAACCGCAUGGUUCAAUAGUGAAAGACGGUUUUGCUGUCACUUAUAGAUGGAUCCGCGCCGCAUUAGCUAGUUGGUAAGGUAACGGCUUACCAAGGCAACGAUGCGUAGCCGACCUGAGAGGGUGAUCGGCCACACUGGAACUGAGACACGGUUCAGACUCCUACGGGAGGCAGCAGUAGGGAAUCUUCCGCAAUGGGCGAAAGCCUGACGGAGCGACGCCGCGUGAGUGAUGAAGGUCUUCGGAUCGUAAAACUCUGUUAUUAGGGAAGAACAAAUGUGUAAGUAACUAUGCACGUCUUGACGGUACCUAAUCAGAAAGCCACGGCUAACUACGUGCCAGCCGCCGCGGUAA